ACAGCAGCAGCCACGGUAAAACGUAGGGUGCGAGCGUUAAUCGGAAUUACUGGGCGUAAAGCGUGCGCAGGCGGUUGUGUAAGACAGGUGUGAAAUCCCCGGGCUUAACCAGGGAAUGGCAAUGGAUACUGGCAAGCUAGAGUGUGUCAGAGGAUGGUGGAAUUCCCGGUGUAGCGGUGAAAUGCGUAGAGAUCGGGAGGGACAUCAGUGGCGAAGGCGGCCAUCUGGGACAACACUGACGCUGAGGCACGAAAGCGUGGGGAGCAAACAGGAUUAGAUACCCCCGUAGUCCCUGUCUCUUAUAC
This 305-nucleotide ribosomal RNA is filed under the name uncultured bacterium. RNAcentral's name for it is "partial 16S ribosomal RNA". It matches the Rfam family "Bacterial small subunit ribosomal RNA", at positions 505 to 807 of the family's 1533-position model. The record is from RNAcentral.